GUUCUGGAAGCAUUAGAAGUUUACGAGCAAGUUCAAAAGGUCUAAAGAUUCGUGCAGUGUGGCUCCUGGUAUUUUCUGGUAAAAAAGGUUUUCCAAGUUCAUAUUAUUCAUCACAGGCCAUAACACAAAGACAGACAUGUUUAAAAUGAUUGAUGUGCAUGUCUCUCUAAUAUAGUUUAUAUAUGUUACUUACAGUAAUAGCUGCAUCUUCACACCUCGGCUAAGAGGACUCUGGUUCCACUCCAUUGGCAUCUUUGCUAUGACAAAGCUGAUUAAGAGCUUUUCAUACUUGCAGCUUCAACACUGUGAAGUAUUUUGAGAUCUGUGUCAUUUCUGUGUAGAAGCGUAGAAGUGUAGGAUCUAAUUAACACAGCUUAUGAGGAGACAGUUUUUGUCGUGCGGAGGUGUUCCCCACUUGUCUAGCCAACAUUUUUUGUGAGGUAAGGCUGUCUUCCUAGCAUAGGAUCUUUCCACUGUAAUUGUUCCAUAUGUAGAUAUAUCCCCUUAUUUUCGCUUUAUAUUUUCUGUAAUAUUUACAUGGCUUGAAGCUUAUUGUCUUCAGAAUUGACAAAAGCCGGUCUCCUCCCGGUUCAUACUCCCAACACAAAUUUCCUCAAAGAG
RNAcentral lists this long non-coding RNA (621 nucleotides) under Solanum tuberosum (potato). Its description in RNAcentral is "long non-coding RNA (STUB_LNC005237)". Lineage: Eukaryota; Viridiplantae; Streptophyta; Magnoliopsida; Solanales; Solanaceae. The record is from RNAcentral.